AGAGUUUGAUCCUGGCUCAGGAUGAACGCUAGCUACAGGCUUAACACAUGCAAGUCGAGGGGAAACGGCAUCAAGCGCUUGCGCCUGAUGGACGUCGACCGGCGCACGGGUGAGUAACGCGUAUCCAACCUGCCCCACACUAAGGGAUAACCCGCAGAAAUGUGGACUAAUACCUUAUAUUUUCCACCAAGGGCAUCGUCGAUGGAACAAAGAUUUAUCGGUAUGGGAUGGGGAUGCGUCCGAUUAGGUUGUUGGCGGGGUAACGGCCCACCAAGCCUUCGAUCGGUAGGGGUUCUGAGAGGAAGGUCCCCCACAUAGGAACUGAGACACGGUCCUAACUCCUACGGGAGGCAGCAGUGAGGAAUAUUGGUCAAUGGGCGUGAGCCUGAACCAGCCAAGUAGCGUGCAGGAAGACGGCCCUAUGGGUUGUAAACUGCUUUUAUGCGGGGAUAAAGGAGUCCACGUGUGGAUUUUUGCAGGUACCGCAUGAAUAAGGACCGGCUAAUUCCGUGCCAGCAGCCGCGGUAAUACGGAAGGUCCGGGCGUUAUCCGGAUUUAUUGGGUUUAAAGGGAGCGUAGGCCGCGUUUUAAGCGUGUUGUGAAAUGUAGGCGCCCAACGUCUGCAUCGCAGCGCGAACUGGGACGCUUGAGUACGCGCAACGUUGGCGGAAUUCGUCGUGUAGCGGUGAAAUGCUUAGAUAUGACGAGGAACUCCGAUUGCGAAGGCAGCUGACGGGAGCGGCACUGACGCUUAAGCUCGAAGGUGCGGGUAUCAAACAGGAUUAGAUACCCUGGUAGUCCGCACAGUAAACGAUGGAUGCCCGCUGUGUGCCAAUUAUGGUACGCGGCUAAGCGAAAGCGUUAAGCAUCCCACCUGGGGAGUACGCCGGCAACGGUGAAACUCAAAGGAAUUGACGGGGGCCCGCACAAGCGGAGGAACAUGUGGUUUAAUUCGAUGAUACGCGAGGAACCUUACCCGGGCUUGAACUGCCGGUGCACGAUCCAGAGAUGGUGAGGCCCUUCGGGGCGCCGGUGGAGGUGCUGCAUGGUUGUCGUCAGCUCGUGCCGUGAGGUGUCGGCUUAAGUGCCAUAACGAGCGCAACCCCUCUCCGUAGUUGCCAUCAGGUAAUGCUGGGCACUCUGCGGAUACUGCCACCGCAAGGUGCGAGGAAGGUGGGGAUGACGUCAAAUCAGCACGGCCCUUACGUCCGGGGCUACACACGUGUUACAAUGGGGGGCACAGCGAGUUGGCCGCGCGCAAGUUCGGUCCAAUCAAGAAAUCCCCCCUCAGUUCGGACUGGGGUCUGCAACCCGACCCCACGAAGCUGGAUUCGCUAGUAAUCGCGCAUCAGCCAUGGCGCGGUGAAUACGUUCCCGGGCCUUGUACACACCGCCCGUCAAGCCAUGAAAGCUGGGGGUGCCUGAAGUCCGUAACCGUCAAGGAGCGGCCUAGGGCAAAACCGGUGAUUGGGGCUAAGUCGUAACAAGGUA
RNAcentral lists this ribosomal RNA (1491 nucleotides) under Hallella colorans. RNAcentral's name for it is "16S ribosomal RNA". It matches the Rfam family "Bacterial small subunit ribosomal RNA". The record is from RNAcentral. Lineage: Bacteria; Pseudomonadati; Bacteroidota; Bacteroidia; Bacteroidales; Prevotellaceae.